RNAcentral lists this ribosomal RNA (253 nucleotides) under uncultured bacterium. RNAcentral's name for it is "partial 16S ribosomal RNA". It matches the Rfam family "Bacterial small subunit ribosomal RNA", at positions 524 to 776 of the family's 1533-position model. The record is from RNAcentral.
UACAGAGGGGGCAAGCGUUAUUCGGAAUUAUUGGGCGUAAAGGGCGCGUAGGCGGUGAUUCAAGUGACGGGUGAAAUCCCUCGGCUUAACCGAGGAACUGCCUGUCAGACUGGAUUGCUUGAGUGCGGCAGAGGAGACUGGAAUUCCUGGUGUAGCAGUGAAAUGCGUAGAUAUCAGGAGGAAUACCGAUGGCGAAGGCAGGUCUCUGGGCUGACACUGACGCUCAUGCACGAAAGCGUGGGGAGCAAACAGG